AUGAUCCUAUGUCUGAACUUGGUGUCCUUCCUAGCAGUCCUCAGAGGUGCACAGUCAGAGGCCCAGCUGGUGGAGUCCGGAGGGGAUGUGAGAAGGCCUGGAGAGUCCCUCCGUCUCUCCUGCCAAGCCUCUGGAUUUGACUUCAGCAGCUAUUGGAUGAGCUGGGUGAGACAGGCCCCUGGAAAAGGGCUGGAAUGGGUGGCUGUCAUAAGCUACAAUUCAGGUACCAUUUACUACUCGGACAAAGUGAAGGGACGCUUCACCAUUUCCAGGGACAACUCCAAAAGCCAACUCUAUCUGCAAAUGAACAGCCUGAAGCCGGAGGAUACGGCAGUCUAUUACUGUGUGAGAGACAGUGACAGGAAGUGA
This is a non-coding RNA of Candoia aspera, 369 nucleotides long. The record is from the annotation of a RefSeq genome assembly. Lineage: Eukaryota; Metazoa; Chordata; Lepidosauria; Squamata; Candoiidae.